GCUGUCAAGUCCGUUCUGCUCAUGCGCGUGUUUUGUUUACAUUUUUUGUUUCAAACAAUAGAUAAUUUAAUUAAAAUUCCGAUCUGUGGUUUGACUAAAUUAUCUAUUGUUUGAAACAAAAAAUGUAAACAAAACACGCACAUGAGCAGAACGGACUUGACAGC
Molecule: non-coding RNA, 164 nt
Organism: Paramuricea clavata
Lineage: Eukaryota; Metazoa; Cnidaria; Anthozoa; Malacalcyonacea; Plexauridae
Source: the annotation of a GenBank genome assembly